AGCGCAGGCGGGAAGACAAGUUGGAAGUGAAAUCUAUGGGCUCAACCCAUAAACUGCUUUCAAAACUGUUUUUCUUGAGUAGUGCAGAGGUAGGCGGAAUUCCCGGUGUAGUGGUGGAAUGCGUAGAUAUCGGGAGGAACACCAGUGGCGAAGGCGGCCUACUGGGCACCAACUGACGCUGAGGCUCGAAAGUGUGGGUAGCAAACA
This 207-nucleotide ribosomal RNA is filed under the name uncultured bacterium. Its description in RNAcentral is "partial 16S ribosomal RNA". It matches the Rfam family "Bacterial small subunit ribosomal RNA", at positions 568 to 774 of the family's 1533-position model. The record is from RNAcentral.